CGUAAUAAUGCUAUUGUGGUUAAAAUACAGGGACCUAUUUUUAGAUAUACAUGUUGAAAUAUUUAUAAAUACAUGCAUAUUAUACGAUGCAUGAAUUUGCUUCAAAAUAAUCCAGGAAGUAAGGAAUGAGUGAUUGGAGGGUAUAGAUGAAAGCAGAUUGACCAUAAAUUGAUAAAAGUUGAAUAGUUGGGUAUUAUAUCCAAAGAAAAUGAAAUCACUAUCUUAAAGAGAUAGCUGCACCCCCACGUUCACUGCAACAUCAUUUACAAUAGCCAAGAUAUGGAAACAACCCAGAUGUCCAUUAACAGACGAAUGGAUAAAGAAACUGUGGUGUGUAUAUAUGUAUAUAUAUAUAUUCCACAAAAAAGAAGGAAACCCUGCCAUUUGUGACAACAUGGAUGAACCUUGAGGACAUUAUGCUAAGUGAAAUAGACAGAGAAAGACAAAUACUGUAUGCUCUCACUUAUAUAUUCCUGUUAGUGCUGUCAAGUCAAUGCCGAUUCCUAGUGACGCUGUGUACAGCAGAGUGGAACCCUGUCCGGUGUUUUUGAGCCUUUCACCUUCCAGUGCUGUAUCAGACAACGCUCUGCUGCUAUUCACAGCGUUUUCAUGGUCAAUUUUUUCAGAAGUGGGUGGCCAGGUCCUUCUUCCUCGUUUGUCUUAGUCUGGAAGCUCCACUGAAACCUGUCCACCAUGGGUGACCCUGCUGGUAUUUAAAAUCCCAGUGGCAUAGCUUUGAGCAUCCCAGCAACACACAGCUGCCACAGUAUGACAACCGACAGAUGGGUGGUGUGGCUCCCUGACAGGAAAACGAACCCAGGCUACGGUGUUCUCCUAACCGCUAGACCACCAGGGCUGGCUUAUAUAUGAAAUCUAAAAAAACAAACUCAUAGAAACAGAUUAUAGGUUGGUGGCUGCCAAGAGCUGGAGAAUGAGGGAAAUGAGGGAUCGUAGUCAAAAGGUACAAACUGUCAGCUAUGAGUAGGUUCCGGGGAACUAAUGUACAGCAUGGGGACUGUCGUGAACAAUAUUAUUGUAUUGUAUAUUUGAAAAUUGCUGAGAGAGUAGAUCUUAGAAGUUCUUACCACCAAAAAACAGUAAUUAUGUAACUAUGUGAGGUGACGAAUGUGUUAACUAACCUUAUUGUGGCAAUCAUUUCACAAUAUAUUACACAAUGUUUGAUGUCAAAUAUAUCUCAACAUAGCUGGAAAAAUAUGAUGUCAAUUCUCCUCCCAUUCAAAAAGUCAAAUAGUUGAACCUCUACAUAUGAUGAGCAUGUAGAGGUUCAUUCUAAUUUGUAUAUAUUUGAAGUUUUCCAUAAUAGAAGAUUUAAAAAAGAAAGGUGACUAUCUAAAAUAUAUUUUAGUUAACAUUACUAUAAGCAGAAAACCAAAAGAAAAUGCAGCAAAAAAUACAUACAGGAGAACGUGCCGAAACAGAAAAUCCAACUCAUUCAGUAAUAUUUGCGGGUUGAGGGGAAUUCUGAGCAAGGUUUGGGCUGAGGUAUUUCGUUGUUAAAAUGAGUUUUCUAGAACAGAGGAUCCUCAAGAAGCAGGGCAGGAUAAUUGCUACAAAACCAAUAUAUUUGAAUUAGGUGCUAAUAGAGACAGAGAGAAAGAGAUUAAGAUUAGCUAAAAGGUUAAAAGGAAUAGUCUCCUUCUUACUUUAUUUCACAGACCAAAUACUAAGUCACACGUUUUACAGGAGCACAGAAAACUUUGUACUGAAGGCAAUGAGUGGAGGAGACUAGAGGGUAAAUAAUUCAAAAAUCACUUCUAUAGUAUUCAAAACAGCAUAUAUUAGCCUUUUCUCCUAAAUACUGAGUGUUUAGACUAAGCUGUGUAUUAAUCUCUUUCAGCAUUCAUAAAUAUUUUUUCACUAAUUUCUUUUAGAAGGAUGUCCAUUUUGCGUCUGGUUACUCAAACCAUUGUCAAUACUCUGCCUAUUUUUUCACUAGUUUUGUUCAAUUGGCACCAAACUAUGUUGUUCGUGGCCAAAUAAUAUAAGACAUCUUUGUUACUAAUUCAAUCUGAGUGAAACCUUUACCCUUUUCUUGGCCCAUCCCUAGUCUUGAAUCCGGUGGUGUGUAUUUGUUUGGAGUAUAGUCAAAUUGAACCCACUAUUCUUCCAUCGAUAAUUGAACUACGCUCCUAAGAUGCAUGCUGUUUAACACGGAAGGAAUAUAACACAGCUUGGCCCUUGUGAAGCGUUAUGAAGAGCCGCAGUCAAGUGGAGACUUCUUUUAUUCUGGUUGGAGUAUUCUGUUGCUAUCUUCACCUUGAGCUAGGCCGACUGUGAAUAGCUACAUAAAAUUCCUUUAUCUUUGUUACUUCAAUGUUAAGAGGCCUUAUUAACAGAAAGGCAUUAAAACUGGAUUGAGUCUGUAGCUAAACAUUUAAUUUUGAUGCUUAUAAUAACUUAAACUAAGAAGACAAUAGCUACCAUUUACCGACUAUGUUUUUUAACCAAACACUGAGCUGAGGGUUUUACACACAGCACUACAUUUAUAUACUUUUUCAUUAUUUAUUGGCAUUCCAAGAGAUCCCCCAGCCAGUUCUCCAACCCAGCCCACCACUCCUUCCUCCAGACUGAAAUGGCAGUGAGCAAAGUUAUUGCAGCUUUUAAAUAUGUGUCCUGCUGUGGGCUGGAGCCAGCUCAUACUGAUUCAGGAGACGACUACAUGCAUCUUUCCCCAAUCCCACGUUAAGUGACAUCAUAUUAGUAGUUUAAAAUGGCCAUGGUGGGAGAAUUUACACUACAGAAAUUAGUAAAUGUCUUUUUUUCCCCCUCCAGAGAGCCAUUUGUUAGACACUUACCAAUACACCACUUUAUGUAUCCCUCUUUCAUUUUCCAAGAAGCAAAUUUGUCAUUGGGAGGAUCCAACAUGGCCCGGUUAUUGCUACUACAGGAAACUGACUAACUUUGAGCAAAUAAGUGGAGAAAGGAAAGAGAAACCAGCCUCAGUAGUGUUUCACCCGCCAGCCAUUCCCCAAGUUGUUUCAUUUUUUGAAAAGAACCAGGUAAGAAAGCUAGGGUCCUUCAGGCAUUCUUUCAAUAACAUGGUAGGAGGAGAAACUGGGGCAAGACUCUACUUCAGGGGUCAGCAAACCAUGGCCUGUGUGCUAAUGUGUGUGAUUUCCUGUUUUUAUAAGUACAUUUUAUUGGAACACAGCCACACCCACUUGUUUAUGUGUUGUCUACGGCAGCUUUCACACCUCAGCGGAAGCGCUGAGUAGCUGUGACACAGACUGUAUGGCCCACAAAGCCAAAAAUAUUGACUCUCUGGCCUUUUACAGAAAAUGUCCUCUAUGAAUGACUUGGGUUGUGAUGUGUUUGGUACACGGAUGAUGCUUUAUUCUGGGUUUAAUUCAUGCAUGGAAGAGGUAGAAAUAAGCUCAAUUUCCUUGUUUUCCCUCAGUCUGAGGAAGAGAGUCAUAGAAAUACAAGCUACGUCCCUAAAUUUUAUUGUAUCCCCUCAUGCAAUUUCAUCACGUAGGGUAAGAUUUCAUUUGUUAUGUCAGGAACGCUCAUUACUGGUCUCACACACUUUGGGAUCCCAGACCCUCUACCUGGAUCUCUUUAUUCAAUCAUUAAUUCAUUUAUUCAUUCAACAGAUAUUUACCAGAGGCUACUAGGGUCUAGCCUACUAGGUUCUAGACACUAGAGGUAUAUUUAUGGAGAAUCAAAGCUCCUGUCCACAUGGAGCUUACAUUUUAGUGGGAAAGGCACAUACUUGUUUGCUUGUUAUCUAAUAUCAUAUCAAGAAGUGAUAAGCACUAUAAAGAAACAAAGGAAGAAAGAUGUUGAACAACGAACGAGGUGCUUUUUAAGAUGUUUAGGGAAAGUAUCUCUAAGAGGUGACAUUUGAGCAGAGAGAUCAGAAUAAAGUAAAGGCAUGAGCCAUGCGUUCCCGGCAGAGGACAGCAAAGGCAAGGCUCUCCAGUGGGCAUGUGCUCAGCUGGCUGAGGAAAGAAGAGGCCGAAAGUGAUGACGUCCCCAAAGAAGGCAGGGGCAAGGUCAUACAGGGCCUUGUAAGCACAAUAAGGAUUUUGCAUGUUAUUCUAAUCACAUGGAAAACCACUGGGAAGUUGUGAGGACGGUACUGACUUCAAGUGAUUUGCAUUUCAGAUUAACACCCUAUCUCCUACGAAUAGUAGAGACUAUGUAUUAAGAGAGAAGAAGAAAGUUAUGAAGCUACUGCAAUAAUGCAGGCAAGAGACGGCCUACAUGUGUAGGAUUCGGGGGUUACUGGGAGCCUUGAGACAACAGUUGAUAGGAUUUUGGAUUGAAAAUACUUCUUGACUUCUUGAGUCUUCUUUAUAACUGAGCGCUAAUUUAGUUCUUCCUAUAUGGAAUAGAGAGUGGGGAAGAAUUCACACAUUCACUCAACAAACACAUUGACCAUCAAUAAGAGAACAGGUGCUAUGUAUUUGAGAUUAGAGGUUAAAAGAAGCUCAGUUUAGUGGAAAAUAAUGAGUGACAACUGGGUUCCUGGCAUAUCAGCUCCCUCUCUUACUUUACACAAACUCCCCUCACCCUGACCUCGACCUCCUCCACUCAGUUCUCUUCAUCUAUGAGACACCUCUGAGCCCAUGGCUGCUCACUCAGGCCAUCCAAGGCUGCUGCCAUUCAAGAUGCUCUUGUCAUCUAGAGUUUGAGAAUGGAAGGAAUAGAUUAAAAGAGAAUACAGUCUCUGCAGUGUACACACACACACACACACACACACACACAAAUACACUUCCUAGUUCCAAUGUACAAUUGUCGAAUCUUCUGUCUUUCCUUUUCCAAAUUUGAUCUGUCUCUGUUGACAUAGUUAUGUGAUUCUCCAGCCAAUUAAGCUAUGGAAUUUCUUUAAUUCAUAUUUUCGUUAGGGUGAUCUCAACUUUCCCUUCUUCUUUUCUCAUCCUUUCCCAUUCACCUUUAGGUGAAACACACUAAAAUUGUCAGACAGUCUUCAGAAAGUCUUAUCCUUGAAAGUCUUCCCUAUUGUUUGACCUAGAAAGACAUACCCUCUUGUAUUAACCCUACAGCUCUCUGUGUUGCCAUGGGUAUUGUGAAUUCAAUAUCUGUUCCAAAAGUUAUGCCUCUUUCUUUGUCUUAAACAAAGGGAAGAUCUUUGCUGGUUUUCCAAUCUAGCAAGAUUCAAGCCCUGAGUGAACAUUUGGGCAUUUUAUUUUAGCAGACUGGUGGCGUUAUUCCUUGUAAGGUGGACCUGCUUGUGACUCCAAAGGAACCCUUCAACAUCAGCUAAAAUCUAGGGUUUAUAAAAAGGAGAGGGAGGGGCGUGAAUCAACUGUCAGCCAGUUCUGAAAGCUGAGAAUAAGUGUAUCAAGCUAAUAUUCCUGAGAACAGGCUUUUUGAAAUCUAAAUACUGUGGAAUCCAAAUUGCAACACAAGACAAUUUGAUGUGACAUAAAAAUUAUUAAAGAAGCAGGGAGAUGAUAAUGAC
This 5449-nucleotide long non-coding RNA is filed under the name Equus caballus (horse). RNAcentral's name for it is "lncRNA (ENSECAG00000046458.1)". The record is from RNAcentral. Lineage: Eukaryota; Metazoa; Chordata; Mammalia; Perissodactyla; Equidae.